Molecule: non-coding RNA, 86 nt
Organism: Favolaschia claudopus
Lineage: Eukaryota; Fungi; Basidiomycota; Agaricomycetes; Agaricales; Mycenaceae
Source: the annotation of a GenBank genome assembly
GGGCUCAUGGCGCAAUGGUAGCGUGUUUGGCUUCGAUGCCUAAAAUCGGCCACCAAAGGCUGCAGGUUCGAGUCCUGCUGUGCUCA